RNAcentral lists this ribosomal RNA (406 nucleotides) under uncultured bacterium. RNAcentral describes it as "partial 16S ribosomal RNA". It matches the Rfam family "Bacterial small subunit ribosomal RNA", at positions 30 to 526 of the family's 1533-position model. The record is from RNAcentral.
AUUGAACGCUGGCGGCAGGCUUAACACAUGCACGUCGAGCAAGCGGCGGACGGGUGAGUAAUGUCUGGGAAACUGCCUGAUGGAGGGGGAUAACUACUGGAAACGGUAGCUAAUAACGCAUACCAUCAGAUGAGCCAAGAUUGGAUUAGCUAGUAGGUGGGGGAAUGGCGCACCUAUGCGACGAUCCCUAGCUGGUCUGCGCGGAUGACAAUGCACACUGGGACUGAGUCCCGGGCCAGACUCCUACGGGAGGCAGCAGUGGGGAAGAUUGCACAAUGGGCGCAAGCCUGAUGCAGCCAUGCCGCGUGUGUGAAGAAGGCCUUCGGGUUGUAAAGCACUUUCAGCGAGGAGGCGUUACUCGCAGAAGAAGCACCGGCUAACUCCGUGCCAGCAGCCGCGGUAAUAC